Molecule: ribosomal RNA, 2902 nt
Filed under: Klebsiella pneumoniae
Lineage: Bacteria; Pseudomonadati; Pseudomonadota; Gammaproteobacteria; Enterobacterales; Enterobacteriaceae
Description: 23S ribosomal RNA
Rfam family: Bacterial large subunit ribosomal RNA
Source: RNAcentral
GGUUAAGCGACUAAGCGUACACGGUGGAUGCCCUGGCAGUCAGAGGCGAUGAAGGACGUGCUAAUCUGCGAAAAGCGUCGGUAAGGUGAUAUGAACCGUUAUAACCGGCGAUGUCCGAAUGGGGAAACCCAGUGCAAUUCGUUGCACUAUCGUUAACUGAAUACAUAGGUUAACGAGGCGAACCGGGGGAACUGAAACAUCUAAGUACCCCGAGGAAAAGAAAUCAACCGAGAUUCCCCCAGUAGCGGCGAGCGAACGGGGAGCAGCCCAGAGUCUGAAUCAGCUUGUGUGUUAGUGGAACGGUCUGGAAAGUCCGACGGUACAGGGUGAUAGUCCCGUACACCAAAAUGCACAGGUUGUGAACUCGAAGAGUAGGGCGGGACACGUGGUAUCCUGUCUGAAUAUGGGGGGACCAUCCUCCAAGGCUAAAUACUCCUGACUGACCGAUAGUGAACCAGUACCGUGAGGGAAAGGCGAAAAGAACCCCGGCGAGGGGAGUGAAAAAGAACCUGAAACCGUGUACGUACAAGCAGUGGGAGCACCUUCGGGUGUGACUGCGUACCUUUUGUAUAAUGGGUCAGCGACUUAUAUUCUGUAGCAAGGUUAACCGUAUAGGGGAGCCGCAGGGAAACCGAGUCUUAACUGGGCGUUAAGUUGCAGGGUAUAGACCCGAAACCCGGUGAUCUAGCCAUGGGCAGGUUGAAGGUUGGGUAACACUAACUGGAGGACCGAACCGACUAAUGUUGAAAAAUUAGCGGAUGACUUGUGGCUGGGGGUGAAAGGCCAAUCAAACCGGGAGAUAGCUGGUUCUCCCCGAAAGCUAUUUAGGUAGCGCCUCGUGAAUUCAUCUUCGGGGGUAGAGCACUGUUUCGGCUAGGGGGUCAUCCCGACUUACCAACCCGAUGCAAACUACGAAUACCGAAGAAUGUUAUCACGGGAGACACACGGCGGGUGCUAACGUCCGUCGUGAAGAGGGAAACAACCCAGACCGCCAGCUAAGGUCCCAAAGUCAUGGUUAAGUGGGAAACGAUGUGGGAAGGCACAGACAGCCAGGAUGUUGGCUUAGAAGCAGCCAUCAUUUAAAGAAAGCGUAAUAGCUCACUGGUCGAGUCGGCCUGCGCGGAAGAUGUAACGGGGCUAAACCAUGCACCGAAGCUGCGGCAGCGACACUAUGUGUUGUUGGGUAGGGGAGCGUUCUGUAAGCCUGCGAAGGUGUGCUGUGAGGCAUGCUGGAGGUAUCAGAAGUGCGAAUGCUGACAUAAGUAACGAUAAAGCGGGUGAAAAGCCCGCUCGCCGGAAGACCAAGGGUUCCUGUCCAACGUUAAUCGGGGCAGGGUGAGUCGACCCCUAAGGCGAGGCCGAAAGGCGUAGUCGAUGGGAAACAGGUUAAUAUUCCUGUACUUGGUGUUACUGCGAAGGGGGGACGGAGAAGGCUAUGUUAGCCGGGCGACGGUUGUCCCGGUUUAAGCAUGUAGGCUGGUUAUCCAGGCAAAUCCGGAUAAUCAAGGCUGAGGUGUGAUGACGAGGCACUACGGUGCUGAAGUAACAAAUGCCCUGCUUCCAGGAAAAGCCUCUAAGCAUCAGGUAACAUCAAAUCGUACCCCAAACCGACACAGGUGGUCAGGUAGAGAAUACCAAGGCGCUUGAGAGAACUCGGGUGAAGGAACUAGGCAAAAUGGUGCCGUAACUUCGGGAGAAGGCACGCUGGUGUGUAGGUGAAGCCCCUGCGGGUGGAGCUGAGACCAGUCGAAGAUACCAGCUGGCUGCAACUGUUUAUUAAAAACACAGCACUGUGCAAACACGAAAGUGGACGUAUACGGUGUGACGCCUGCCCGGUGCCGGAAGGUUAAUUGAUGGGGUUAUCCGUAAGGAGAAGCUCUUGAUCGAAGCCCCGGUAAACGGCGGCCGUAACUAUAACGGUCCUAAGGUAGCGAAAUUCCUUGUCGGGUAAGUUCCGACCUGCACGAAUGGCGUAAUGAUGGCCAGGCUGUCUCCACCCGAGACUCAGUGAAAUUGAACUCGCUGUGAAGAUGCAGUGUACCCGCGGCAAGACGGAAAGACCCCGUGAACCUUUACUAUAGCUUGACACUGAACAUUGAGCCUUGAUGUGUAGGAUAGGUGGGAGGCUUUGAAGCGUGGACGCCAGUCUGCGUGGAGCCAACCUUGAAAUACCACCCUUUAAUGUUUGAUGUUCUAACGUUGGCCCCUUACCGGGGUUGCGGACAGUGUCUGGUGGGUAGUUUGACUGGGGCGGUCUCCUCCCAAAGCGUAACGGAGGAGCACGAAGGUUAGCUAAUCCUGGUCGGACAUCAGGAGGUUAGUGCAAUGGCAUAAGCUAGCUUGACUGCGAGCGUGACGGCGCGAGCAGGUGCGAAAGCAGGUCAUAGUGAUCCGGUGGUUCUGAAUGGAAGGGCCAUCGCUCAACGGAUAAAAGGUACUCCGGGGAUAACAGGCUGAUACCGCCCAAGAGUUCAUAUCGACGGCGGUGUUUGGCACCUCGAUGUCGGCUCAUCACAUCCUGGGGCUGAAGUAGGUCCCAAGGGUAUGGCUGUUCGCCAUUUAAAGUGGUACGCGAGCUGGGUUUAGAACGUCGUGAGACAGUUCGGUCCCUAUCUGCCGUGGGCGCUGGAGAAUUGAGGGGGGCUGCUCCUAGUACGAGAGGACCGGAGUGGACGCAUCACUGGUGUUCGGGUUGUCAUGCCAAUGGCACUGCCCGGUAGCUAAAUGCGGAAGAGAUAAGUGCUGAAAGCAUCUAAGCACGAAACUUGCCCCGAGAUGAGUUCUCCCUGAGACUUUAAGUCUCCUGAAGGAACGUUAAAGACGAUGACGUUGAUAGGCCGGGUGUGUAAGCGCAGCGAUGCGUUGAGCUAACCGGUACUAAUGAACCGUGAGGCUUAACCUU